Molecule: long non-coding RNA, 203 nt
Filed under: Hordeum vulgare
Lineage: Eukaryota; Viridiplantae; Streptophyta; Magnoliopsida; Poales; Poaceae
Description: long non-coding RNA (HVUL_LNC017848)
Source: RNAcentral
AUCACGGGUGCGUGGAGGAGUGCAGCGCAGUAGUAGUGCGUGUGUUCACUGCGUAUAAAAUAUCCCCUGUGUACUGCUUGUAGAGGUGGCCAGAGAGUUGGAUAGUGGAAAGAGGCGUUUGUGCGCCUGGGCGUUUGAGCGCCGGGAAAGCCCACUGUUGUAUCUAGUUCUUCUUCUACCUCUAGCCACACGAGAAAGAGAGU